UACGUAGGUGGCAAGCGUUAUCCGGAUUUACUGGGUGUAAAGGGCGUGUAGGCGGUCUUGCAAGUCGGAAGUGAAAUUCCCGGGCUUAACCCGGGCGCUGCUCCCGAAACUGCGAGACUUGAGUACUGGAGAGGAUAGUGGAAUUCCUAGUGUAGCGGUAAAAUGCGUAGAUAUUAGGAGGAACACCAGUGGCGAAGGCGGCUAUCUGGACAGUAACUGACGCUGAGGCG
Molecule: ribosomal RNA, 230 nt
Filed under: uncultured microorganism
Description: partial 16S ribosomal RNA
Rfam family: Bacterial small subunit ribosomal RNA
Source: RNAcentral